Molecule: long non-coding RNA, 1066 nt
Filed under: Mus musculus (house mouse)
Lineage: Eukaryota; Metazoa; Chordata; Mammalia; Rodentia; Muridae
Description: predicted gene, 71569
Source: RNAcentral
AGUCUCUCAUAGAAACUUCUGGCCUCUGGACACUGUGGGAGCAACUUUUCCUUUAUUAGACUGUCUCCUCUUUAACUGUACCUAGAAGAUACUUUAGCACAGCAAGCAUCUCUUUUAUGCUUACAUUAUGCAGUUAUGCAGACUUGGUGUACGUCCUUCAAGGACAGUCUAAGAAUCUUUGAUUCUAUUUCUGCUGGAUACAUUGUUGCAGAGAUGAAUAUUGCAGCAUGACUGGGAAGCCUGUCCUUCAUUACUUCAAUUGAAGAAGAAGAAUGGAGUCCAUCCGGUGGCUCCUGGCAGCAGCUGGAGUAGAGUUUGAGGAAGAACUUUUUGAAACCCAUGAAGAGUUUGAGAAGUUAAUCCAAGGUGGAACCCUGAUGUACGAGCAAGUGCCCAUGGUGGAAAUCGAUGGAAUGACUUUGGUGCAGACCAGUGCCAUCUUAAGAUAUGUAGCUGCAAAAUAUGACUUGUAUGGAAGGAACCUGGAGGAACAAGCCUGAAGAGAAGGAGAUGAACCUUGAAUACAUCCUCCACCGAGCUACAACAAGAUUCUUCCCCGUUUAUGAGAAGGACUUCAAGGUGAGAACCAGCCAAAUUCCUACAAUUAACAGCUUCCUCCAACCUGGAAGCCAGAGGAAGCCUCCUUUGGAGGAGCGAUCCAUUGGGACUGCAAAGGACAUAUUCAAAUUUGAAUGAGGACUGUUUCUUAAAAACAUGAGCAAUAUAGUAGCUGAGUAUUAACAGCUACAGAGGCUGGAGUUACUCAGUAAGUAUACUGAGUAACUUGACACUGCAUUCAUAAAAAGACACUCACUAAGUAUAUGGCCAGAGAAAUAUCCUGAAGUUAGUAAUAAAUGUUAGGAAUCUUAGUAUGUUAGCAAUGUUAGAAUGUUAGUAAUGGAAAUAUUAAAUGUGUAAGAGAAAAACUACUAGAAGCUUAUCAAUAAACUACAAGAACCAACUCUUGUUUGAAGUAAGACAGGCUACCAAGACAGAAUUCAGAAAAUCCAAGGAGCCCUCGGCCUUCUGUAUGAUCCUAGAAUAAACUUGUAUGUAGCAAGUGAAA